UUAAGCGACUAAGCGUACACGGUGGAUGCCCUGGCAGUCAGAGGCGAUGAAGGACGUGCUAAUCUGCGAAAAGCGCCGGCGAGGUGAUAUGAACCCUUGACCCGGCGAUGUCCGAAUGGGGAAACCCAGUGCAAUCCGUUGCACUAUCGUUAACUGAAUACAUAGGUUAACGAGGCGAACCGGGGGAACUGAAACAUCUAAGUACCCCGAGGAAAAGAAAUCAACCGAGAUUCCCCCAGUAGCGGCGAGCGAACGGGGAGCAGCCCGGAGUCUGAAUCAGCUUGUGUGUUAGUGGAACGGUCUGGAAAGUCCGACGGUACAGGGUGAUAGUCCCGUACACGAAAGCACACAUGCUGUGAACUCGAAGAGUAGGGCGGGACACGUGGUAUCCUGUCUGAAUAUGGGGGGACCAUCCUCCAAGGCUAAAUACUCCUGACUGACCGAUAGUGAACCAGUACCGUGAGGGAAAGGCGAAAAGAACCCCGGCGAGGGGAGUGAAAAAGAACCUGAAACCGUGUACGUACAAGCAGUGGGAGCCUCUUUAUGGGGUGACUGCGUACCUUUUGUAUAAUGGGUCAGCGACUUAUAUUCUGUAGCAAGGUUAACCGUAUAGGGGAGCCGAAGGGAAACCGAGUCUUAACUGGGCGUUAAGUUGCAGGGUAUAGACCCGAAACCCGGUGAUCUAGCCAUGGGCAGGUUGAAGGUUGGGUAACACUAACUGGAGGACCGAACCGACUAAUGUUGAAAAAUUAGCGGAUGACCUGUGGCUGGGGGUGAAAGGCCAAUCAAACCGGGAGAUAGCUGGUUCUCCCCGAAAGCUAUUUAGGUAGCGCCUCGUGAAUUCAUCUUCGGGGGUAGAGCACUGUUUCGGCUAGGGGGCCAUCCCGGCUUACCAACCCGAUGCAAACUACGAAUACCGAAGAAUGUUAUCACGGGAGACACACGGCGGGUGCUAACGUCCGUCGUGAAGAGGGAAACAACCCAGACCGCCAGCUAAGGUCCCAAAGUCAUGGUUAAGUGGGAAACGAUGUGGGAAGGCACAGACAGCCAGGAUGUUGGCUUAGAAGCAGCCAUCAUUUAAAGAAAGCGUAAUAGCUCACUGGUCGAGUCGGCCUGCGCGGAAGAUGUAACGGGGCUAAACCAUGCACCGAAGCUGCGGCAGCGACACUUAUGUGUUGUUGGGUAGGGGAGCGUUCUGUAAGCCGUUGAAGGUGUGCUGUGAGGCAUGCUGGAGGUAUCAGAAGUGCGAAUGCUGACAUAAGUAACGAUAAAGCGGGUGAAAAGCCCGCUCGCCGGAAGACCAAGGGUUCCUGUCCAACGUUAAUCGGGGCAGGGUGAGUCGACCCCUAAGGCGAGGCCGAAAGGCGUAGUCGAUGGGAAACAGGUUAAUAUUCCUGUACUUGGUGUUACUGCGAAGGGGGGACGGAGAAGGCUAUGUCAGCCGGGCGACGGUUGUCCCGGUUUAAGCAUGUAGGCGGAGGUUCCAGGUAAAUCCGGUACCUUAUUAACGCUGAGGUGUGAUGACGAGGCACUACGGUGCUGAAGUGAUAAAUGCCCUGCUUCCAGGAAAAGCCUCUAAGCAUCAGGUAACACGAAAUCGUACCCCAAACCGACACAGGUGGUCAGGUAGAGAAUACCAAGGCGCUUGAGAGAACUCGGGUGAAGGAACUAGGCAAAAUGGUGCCGUAACUUCGGGAGAAGGCACGCUGAUGUGUAGGUGAAGCCCCUGCGGGUGGAGCUGAAAUCAGUCGAAGAUACCAGCUGGCUGCAACUGUUUAUUAAAAACACAGCACUGUGCAAACACGAAAGUGGACGUAUACGGUGUGACGCCUGCCCGGUGCCGGAAGGUUAAUUGAUGGGGUUAGCGGCAACGCGAAGCUCUUGAUCGAAGCCCCGGUAAACGGCGGCCGUAACUAUAACGGUCCUAAGGUAGCGAAAUUCCUUGUCGGGUAAGUUCCGACCUGCACGAAUGGCGUAAUGAUGGCCAGGCUGUCUCCACCCGAGACUCAGUGAAAUUGAACUCGCUGUGAAGAUGCAGUGUACCCGCGGCAAGACGGAAAGACCCCGUGAACCUUUACUAUAGCUUGACACUGAACACUGGUCCUUGAUGUGUAGGAUAGGUGGGAGGCUUUGAAGCGUGGACGCCAGUCUGCGUGGAGCCGACCUUGAAAUACCACCCUUUAAUGGCUGGUGUUCUAACGUAGACCCGUAAUCCGGGUUGCGGACAGUGUCUGGUGGGUAGUUUGACUGGGGCGGUCUCCUCCCAAAGAGUAACGGAGGAGCACGAAGGUUGGCUAAUCCUGGUCGGACAUCAGGAGGUUAGUGCAAUGGCAUAAGCCAGCUUGACUGCGAGCGUGACGGCGCGAGCAGGUGCGAAAGCAGGUCAUAGUGAUCCGGUGGUUCUGAAUGGAAGGGCCAUCGCUCAACGGAUAAAAGGUACUCCGGGGAUAACAGGCUGAUACCGCCCAAGAGUUCAUAUCGACGGCGGUGUUUGGCACCUCGAUGUCGGCUCAUCACAUCCUGGGGCUGAAGUAGGUCCCAAGGGUAUGGCUGUUCGCCAUUUAAAGUGGUACGCGAGCUGGGUUUAGAACGUCGUGAGACAGUUCGGUCCCUAUCUGCCGUGGGCGCUGGAGAAUUGAGGGGGGCUGCUCCUAGUACGAGAGGACCGGAGUGGACGCAUCACUGGUGUUCGGGUUGUCAUGCCAAUGGCACUGCCCGGUAGCUAAAUGCGGAAGAGAUAAGUGCUGAAAGCAUCUAAGCACGAAACUUGCCCCGAGAUGAGUUCUCCCUGACCCUUUAAGGGUCCUGAAGGAACGUUGAAGACGACGACGUUGAUAGGUCGGGUGUGUAAGCGCAGCGAUGCGUUGAGCUAACCGAUACUAAUGAACCGUGAGGCUUAACCUU
Molecule: ribosomal RNA, 2904 nt
Filed under: human gut metagenome
Description: bacterial LSU rRNA
Rfam family: Bacterial large subunit ribosomal RNA
Source: RNAcentral